Molecule: ribosomal RNA, 320 nt
Filed under: uncultured eukaryote
Lineage: Eukaryota
Description: partial 18S ribosomal RNA
Rfam family: Eukaryotic small subunit ribosomal RNA
Source: RNAcentral
CCCCUAGAUGUUCUGGGCCGCACGCGCGCUACACUGAACAGUUCAACAAGUCUUAACCUUGGCCGAUAGGUCUGGGUAAUCUUUGAACGCUGUUCGUGAUUGGGAUAGACCUUUGCAAUUAUCGGUCUUCAACGAGGAAUUCCUAGUAAACGCAAGUCAUCAGCUUGCAUUGAUUACGUCCCUGCCCUUUGUACACACCGCCCGUCGCACCUACCGAUUGAAUGGUCCGGUGAAAUCUCGGGACGGCGGCUUGGUCGCUUGCGUCCGACUGCUGAAACUUGAUUAAACCAUAUCAUUUAGAGGAAGGUGAAGUCGUAACA